Molecule: ribosomal RNA, 407 nt
Filed under: uncultured bacterium
Lineage: Bacteria
Description: partial 16S ribosomal RNA
Rfam family: Bacterial small subunit ribosomal RNA
Source: RNAcentral
AUUGAACGCUGGCGGCAGGCCUAACACAUGCAAGUCGAACGGAGCGGCGGAUGGGUGAUUAAUGCCUAGGAAUCUGCCUGUUAGUGGGGGAUAACGUCCGGAAACGGGAGCUAAUACCGCAUGCUCUAAGAUGAGCCUCGGUCGGAUUAGCUAGUUGGUGGGGUAAAGGCCUACCAAGGAGACGAUCCGUAACUGGUCUGAGAGGAUGAUCAGUCAGACUGGAACUGAGACACGGGCCAGACUCCUACGGGAGGCAGCAGUGGGGAAUAUUGGACAAUGGGCGAAAGCCUGACCCAGCCAUGCCGCGUGUGUGAAGAAGGUCUUCGGAUGGUAAAGCACUUUAAGUUGGGAGGCGUUACCAACAGAAUAAGCACCGGCUAACUUCGUGCCAGCAGCCGCGGUAAUAC